This is a long non-coding RNA of Myodes glareolus (Bank vole), 458 nucleotides long. RefSeq lists it as uncharacterized. The record is from RefSeq and is a predicted model, not a curated record. NCBI's taxonomy places the organism in Eukaryota, Metazoa, Chordata, Mammalia, Rodentia, Cricetidae.
AUCUCCAUAACAGCCACUUUGUUUCAUUACUUAUUAACAGAUCCUCCUUGAGUGAAGUUCUUUGUUAAUGGAGCUUUAAAAACAGAUUUCUCUCCCCCCUCCCCACCCUUGUUUCUGCCAUGGGGGUGGGGAUCUGUGCUGAUUUGAAAUCCUCCCGUGCACUUGCUUGCCCUACCGUGGGGAGGCUUCUCUUCUCUUCAAGACUGGCCCUUGUGGAGGUAUCAUUUGGAUUCAUGGCAGAAUGGCAAGGAGAUACAAAAGACCACAGUAUGCAUUUCUCUGUUUCCAUGCCAACGGUGUUUUAGGUACUGCGAGACUGUACUUUUGGCUCUCGGGACAUGCUCCUUCCUGUGGCAGACUCUGCUUCCGAUCUGCGUCUGACAUGUUUCAAUGCUUGCAGCUGCCUCCUCAGUGCUGCCUUCCAAAGCCUUGAAUUAAGGCUGCACCUGUUUGGGAUU